This 253-nucleotide ribosomal RNA is filed under the name uncultured bacterium. RNAcentral describes it as "partial 16S ribosomal RNA". It matches the Rfam family "Bacterial small subunit ribosomal RNA", at positions 524 to 776 of the family's 1533-position model. The record is from RNAcentral.
AACGUAGGAGACAAACGUUAUCCGGAGUUACUGGGCGUAAAGGGCGUGUAGGCGGUAUGCUAAGUCUGGCGUGAAAGCUCUCGGCUAAACCGGGAGAGGUCGUUGGAUACUGGCAAACUAGAGGAUGGUAGAGGCGUGUGGAAUUCCGGGUGUAGUGGUGAAAUGCGUAGAGAUCCGGAGGAACACCAGUGGCGAAGGCGACACGCUGGGCCAUACCUGACGCUAAAGCGCGACAGCAUGGGGAGCAAACGGG